GCGCCUGUAGCUCAGUAGGAUAGAGCAACGGACUUCUAAUCCGUGUGCCGGGGGU
Molecule: transfer RNA, 55 nt
Filed under: Gottschalkia purinilytica
Lineage: Bacteria; Bacillati; Bacillota; Tissierellia; Tissierellales; Gottschalkiaceae
Description: Clostridium purinilyticum tRNA
Rfam family: tRNA
About the family: Transfer RNA (tRNA) molecules are approximately 80 nucleotides in length. Their secondary structure includes four short double-helical elements and three loops (D, anti-codon, and T loops).
Source: Rfam by way of RNAcentral